This 400-nucleotide RNase P RNA is filed under the name Rubellimicrobium roseum. Its description in RNAcentral is "Bacterial RNase P class A". It matches the Rfam family "Bacterial RNase P class A". Rfam says of the family: Ribonuclease P (RNase P) is a ubiquitous endoribonuclease, found in archaea, bacteria and eukarya as well as chloroplasts and mitochondria. Its best characterised activity is the generation of mature 5'-ends of tRNAs by cleaving the 5'-leader elements of precursor-tRNAs. Cellular RNase Ps are ribonucleoproteins. The record is from Rfam by way of RNAcentral. Lineage: Bacteria; Pseudomonadati; Pseudomonadota; Alphaproteobacteria; Rhodobacterales; Roseobacteraceae.
GCGGAUGGCCGGAUGACCGCGGGGGCCGCAAGGUCCACGAGGAAAGUCCGGACUCCGGAAAGCACGGUGCCGGGUAACGCCCGGCCGGGGAAACCCGAGGGAAAGCGCCACAGAGAACAGACUACCCGUCGGACCGGAGGUUCGCCAAAGGAGCAUCCGGCGGGAAAAGGUGAAACGGUGGGGUAAGAGCCCACCGCGGGACGGGCAACCGGACCGGCACGGCAAGCCCCACCGGGAGCAAUGCCAAAUAGGGACCCCGCGCCGGCAACGGCAGGCGCGCUUCCGCCCAGGGGUCCGGGUUGGCAGCUAGAGGCGCGUCGGCAACGGCGGGCCAAGAGGAAUGGUCAUCCAGGGGGAGCGAUCCUCCGGACAGAAUCCGGCUUACAGGCCAUCCGCGCAU